This 56-nucleotide microRNA precursor is filed under the name Salmo salar (Atlantic salmon). RNAcentral describes it as "microRNA ssa-mir-2184 precursor". Lineage: Eukaryota; Metazoa; Chordata; Actinopteri; Salmoniformes; Salmonidae. The record is from miRBase by way of RNAcentral.
AACAGUAAGAGUUAAUGUGCUGGGUUCUCAAUCAGCACGUAGGCUCUUACAGUACA